GCUUAACGCGAAGAACCUUACCUACCUUUGAAUCCACGGAACCUAGCAGAGAUGUUGGGGUGCCUUCGGGAACCGUGAGACAGGUGCUGCAUGGCUGUCGUCAGCUCGUGUCGUGAGAUGUUGGGUUAGGUCCCGUAACGAGCGCAACCCUUGUCCUUAGUUGCCAUCAGGUUAUGCUGGGCACUUUAAGGAGACUGCCGGUGAUAAACCGGAGGAAGGUGGGGAUGACGUCAAGUCCUCAUGGCCCUUACAGGUAGGGCUACACACGUGCUACAAUGGGCAGUACAGAGGGAAGCCAACCCGCGAGGGGGAGCGAAUCUCAUAAAGCUGUUCGUAGUCCGGAUUGGAGUCUGCAACUCGACUCCAUGAAGUUGGAAUCGCUAGUAAUCGCGGAUCAGAAUGCCGCGGUGAAUACGUUCCCGGGUCUUGUACACACCG
RNAcentral lists this ribosomal RNA (438 nucleotides) under uncultured bacterium. Its description in RNAcentral is "bacterial SSU rRNA". It matches the Rfam family "Bacterial small subunit ribosomal RNA", at positions 954 to 1392 of the family's 1533-position model. The record is from RNAcentral.